RNAcentral lists this ribosomal RNA (433 nucleotides) under uncultured bacterium. RNAcentral's name for it is "partial 16S ribosomal RNA". It matches the Rfam family "Bacterial small subunit ribosomal RNA", at positions 29 to 507 of the family's 1533-position model. The record is from RNAcentral.
AACGAACGCUGGCGGCAUGCCUAACACAUGCAAGUCGAACGAGACCUUCGGGUCUAGUGGCGCACGGGUGUGUCACGUGUGGGAACCUGCCCUUAGGCUCGGAAUAACUCCCCGAAAGGGGUGCUAAUACCGGAUAAUGUCUUCGGAUCAAAGAUUUAUCGCCCUUGGAUGGGCCGGCGUUGGAUUAGCUUGUUGGUAGGGUAAAAGCCUACCAAGGCGACGCUCCAUAGCUGGUCUGAGAGGAUGGUCAGCGACACUGGGACUGAGACACGGCCCAGACUCCUACGGGAGGCAGCAGAGGGGAAUAUAGGACAAUGGGCGAAAGCCUGAUCCAGCAAGGCCGCGAGAGUGAUGAAGGCCUGAGAGUUGAAAAGCUCUUUUACCCGGGAUGAUAAUGACAGUACCGGAAGAAUAAGCUCCGGCUAACUCCGUG